UGGGUAAAUGAUCGUUACAUAAUCCGUUGUCAUCGUAUGGAUUAGCAAAACUCACUAUUCUGUAGCCAAAUAAACGAUCAUUACAAUUUUCUUUUGGAUAAAAAAGGCCAGCUCAUUAACCCAUUUACUCAUUAGAAGGAGCAGAUUCGAAUUCCAUACGAAUGAGAUGUGGCGGCGAUAUUUGAUGGAACUUGAUAACUUAUGUUUGGGAUUAAACCACAAACAUUUCUCAAUGAUAAAACAAUGUUCCUCGUCUGUUUAGCUGCGAUUCAACGACACUAAAUGGGAUCAACAGAAGUUGGUAAGACAAACGCCUUUAACUCCGAAGAAAGACGGUGACAAAAGAGUAAACGAAUCAGAUAAUAAAAAGCUAGCCAAACAAAAAAAUUACAACGUUUGUAUUUCAAACAGCUCAAGCCACAUUGGGUAAAACAUUUUCAUUUUACAGAACAUAUUAAUCAAUCAAGAAAUCAAGAACUUAUAUUAUAUAUAUUAUAGAAGUGUAAAAUUCUUAACUUCUCUUGCUUUAGUUCAAGGAAUAGUUCACCUGAACUCAGCAAGAAUACAAAACCAAAUGCUCAGCUCUUAACAAAGAAGAGGGUGUGGUUUUACUACUACUCAAAACAAAGUAAACGACCCUAUCUAACGGUAUAACAACUACCUUAGCCAAUUAAAGCUAUACCUCAAUUUUACACAUUACGAUACUAUAUAUUGAAACCAAGUAUUCUUGAGAUAGACCGUUGAUCUUUGUUUCACUGCCUCAACGAUUGCUUUUGGUUAACUGCCACCACAUAAACAGUUUACUCUCUUUGUUUUUGGUGUUCAUAUAUUAACGGUCUGUAGGUUUUACGGAUUAAAAACGAAGGUCGCGUAUAUAAAACUGUUCUUGGUCU
This 893-nucleotide long non-coding RNA is filed under the name Brassica napus (rape). RNAcentral's name for it is "long non-coding RNA (BNAP_LNC001798)". The record is from RNAcentral. Lineage: Eukaryota; Viridiplantae; Streptophyta; Magnoliopsida; Brassicales; Brassicaceae.